GCUAGGGGUCUAAUCGAAGCUACAGCUGCUGGCCUACACCACAGCAAUGCCAGAUCUGAGCUGUGUCUGUGACCUACACCACAGCUCAUGGCAACGCCAGGUCAUUAACCCACUGAGCAAGGCCAGGAAUCGAACCUCAUGGUUCCUAGUCAGAUUCGUUUCUGCUGAGCCAUGAGGGGAACUCCAAAUAUUUAUUUAUUUAUUUGUCUUUUUGCCUUUUCUAGGGCUGCUUCCAGGGCAUAUGGAGAUUCCCAGGCUAGGGGUCUAAUUGGAGCUAUAGCCACCGACCUAUGCCAGAGCCACAGCAAUGCAGGAUACGAGCCUUGUCUGCAAUCUACACCACAGCUCAAGCAAUGCUGGAUCCUUAACCCACUGAGCAAGGCCAGGGAUCGAACCCACAACCUCAUGGUUCCUAGUCGGAUUCGUUAACCACUGAGCCACGACAGGAACUCCGGGAACUCCAAAUUUAAUAUUUUUUAUUUUCCAUGCUAUUAUAGAUGAAUUUAAGAAAUUUCAUAUUCUAUUUGUUGCUCGUACAAAGAAGAAUCAAUAGUUAAAAUGACCACACUACCCAAGGCAAUCUAUAGAUUCAAAGCAAUUGCUGUUAAAAUACCAAAGGUAUUUUUCACAGAACAGGAACAAAAAUUGUUUUAAUUUAUAUGGAAACACAAAAAUCCCAAAUAGCCAAAACAAUUUUAAGCAGAACAGAGUUAGAGGGAUCAGGCCCCCUGACUAUACUAUAAAGCUACUGUAAUCGAAACAGUAUGGUACUGGUGCAAAAACAGACAGAUAGAUCAAUGGAUCAGGAUAGGAGCCCGGAAAUAAACCCACAUAUUUAUGGUCAUAAUCCACAACAAAAGGAGGUAAGAAUAAUACAAUGUAGAGAAGAGAGUCUCUUCAACAAGUGGUGUUGGGAAAAUUGGACAACUACCUGUAAAAUAAUGAAAUUAGAACAGUCUUUAACAUCAACUACAGAAAUAAAUUAAAAGUGGAUGAAUGACCUAAAUUUAAGCCAGGAAAUUAUAGAACUCCUACAGGAAAAUAUAGGCACAACAUUCUUUGAUAUAAAUCGCAGUAGUAUUUUUUUGCAGCUGAUUCCUAAAGUAAACAAAAAUAAACGAUAAUGGAAAAAAAUCAUUUAAAAAGCAAAAAAAGCAAAAAGAAACAAAUGGGACCUAAAUUAAACUUAAAAGCUUUUGUCUAGCAAAGGAAACCAUCAACAAAAUGAAAAGUCAACAUAUUGAGUUGGAGAAAAUAUUUGCAAAUGAUAUGACUGAUAAGGGACUAACAUCCAACAUAUAUAAAAAGUUCAUACCACUCAUCAAAACAACCACCACCACCCAACCUGGUUGAAAAAUGGGCGGAAGAACUGAAGAGACAUUUCUCCAAAGAGGAAAUGCAAACAGUCAACAGGCGCAUGAAAAACUGCUCCACAUGGCUAAACAUCAUGGAAAUGCAAAUCAGAACCACAAUUACUGUCACCUCAUACCGCUUAGAAUGGUUACCAUCAAAAAGAAUGCACAUAACAUGUCGGCAAGGGUGUGGAAAAAAGGGAACACGUUUACACUGUACACUUUUGGUGGGCAUGCGAUUGGUGUAGCCACUGUGGAAAACAGAAUGAAGUUUUCUCAAAAGAAAAGGAAAACACUAAUUUGAAAAGAUGUACGCACUCCAGUGUUCAUAGCAGCAUUGUUUACAGUUGCCAAGAUAUAAAAGCAACCUAAGUGUCCAUCAUCAGAUGAAUGGAUUAAGGAGAUGUGGGGUGUGUAUAUACACAUACACACUGGAGUACUAUUCAGCCAUAAAAAAGAAUGAAAAAUUUUCAUUUGCAGUAACAUAAAUGGACUUGUAGAGCAUUAUGCUAAGUGAAAAAAGUCAGACAGAGAAAGACAAAUACCAUACGAUAUCAUUUAUCUGUGGAAUCUAAAAAAUACAGCAAACUAGUGAAUAUAACAGAAAGAAGCAGACUCACAGAUAUAGAGAAAAGAGUAGUGGUUGCCAGUGGAGAGAGGGAAAGGAUAGGGCAAUACAGGGAUGGAAGAGUGGGAGGUAUAAGCUCUUGCGUGCGAGACGGACUGCAAGUAUGUGUUGUGCAACUCCAGGAAUAUAAUGAAAUAACUGUAAAUGGAAUGGAAUCUUUAAGAAUUGUAUAUAUGAUGAAAGAAUCGAUUUUUGGACAUUGACCUCAUCCUAUAAUCUUAUUGGACUGAUCUAUUAGUUCUAGAUUUUUAGGUAGACUGUUUUUAAUUGCAUAUGUAUCUAAUAUUUUAUUUAUUUAGUCUUUUUAGGGCCGCAGUGGCAGCAUAUGUAGGUUCCCAGGCUAGGGGUCGAAUCAGAGCUGUAGCUGCCAGCAUACGUCAGAGCCCCAGCAAUGAGGGAUCCGAGCCGCAUCUAUGACCUACACCACAGCUCACAGUAAUGCCGGAUCCUUAAUCCACUGAUUGAGGCCGGGGAUCGAACCUGCAACCUCACGGUUCCUAGUCGGAUUCGUUUCCACUGUGCCAUGAUGGGAACUCCUGUAUCUAAUAUUUUAUUAAAGCUCAACCUGGGCCACCAUGAUUCCAGCUCCUGAAAUCAAUUUCCUUCUCCCUCUGACCAGGUGCUAAGCCAAUGCGAUGUAUUUUAUUUUUGCCUUUUGCUACUGCAGUACUUCACUUUUAGGAAUUAAUGUCUGUAUUAGCCAGGACAGGCUAAUUGCUAUAAGUAACAAUCCUAAAAUUUCAGUGGCUUAAAUAUAAUAAAAAGAUGUCUUUAUUAUUCUUAAUUGUUUUGUCCAAUAUGGUUUAAUUAGGAGGCCAUGAAAUCAUUCAGUGACCUGGGCUCCUUCCAUUAAGUGCCCCCCCUCUUUCUCUAAGACCUCAGAGUCUUUCAUCAGUUCUUCCACAUCUGGCCAGAAAUUGAGGGGAGAGAGUAUGGAUACAAGUAUGAGGGUUUCUUAGGGGUCAGGAAGAGCCUUAUUUAUCUGCAAAGAAAGCUAGGAAGUAUCAGCUGGCUGGGUGCUUAGCAAGAAGAGAAAAUGGCUUUGGGGGAAUAUUCAACCAGUCUUUGCUGCAUGGGGCAGUAUCUCCAUUUUACAGAUAAGAACACAGGCUUGCGAGGAUGAUUUCCCAGCUUUUACAACCACAGACAUGAGAGCGUGGACCUGGACCCCAAUUUGGCGGACGCCAAAGCCAGGCUCUGCAUCCCUCUGCCCGGCACUGCCUCCCCUCCGACGGUCCCGCUGGCCUGCGCUCUCUUAGGACCUGUGGCAUCCUUUCCCCCUUGGAAGGGCUUCCUGCAAGCGUCCACUCUCCUUCUGGUUCUCGCCUUUUGAAAACAAUUGAUGAGCACUCUGUUCUCUAACAAGCAGCCCGGUCCACGGGCUUAGUCUGCAGCAGAGUCGGAGAGCCUCCGCAAUAAGACACCCAAACGACACAGAAGCAGCCCACAUCAAGCGGUUUCUCGACACGGCUACCCGCACGCCAGUGGGAUUUUAUAGCGCUGCCGAAUGCGAAGGAUCUUGGGAGAAAGGACUCGAUCUACAGCCCCGCACGCGUAAAGUGAGCACUUACCGGUGAGAAUUACAGGGUCUUCUUAGCGAACGUUGUCUCGUUGACACACUCUGAACGGAGAGGCUGAAGUUUACCCGCCAAGAGGGUUUCUUCGCAAGGCAGCCCAGUGAGGGCACGGAGAACAGUCUUAAAUCUCAGAACUCAAACCUGCCUCCCCGAAGCCGAGGGGCGGGGUAUGGAUGGGAAGGCGAAGAAAGCAACCGGGCGGUGAGCGGCGUGGGGCACGUGGGCAAAGGUAAUGGGAAGGCCUGGGAGGCAUGGUUCUGCGCAGGCGUAACUAAGUUACAGGCCCCUGCGGUGCCCGGCCGGAGGGUCCCCAUGGUCCCCGCGUUUUAACCCACUCUGCUGAACCAGAGGCAGCUCCGCCUCCAAGCUCCUAGAAAAUAACUCAGGCAAAAGUCUUAUGGUUCAGGCUACGUGCUGCUCGGAGGGCUUGUAAGUGUUAAAACGACCUUGAUUAGUGGAGGCAGGUGGAAUGGAUUUGAUGACUCCUCACGCGGGGCUUCAAUCUCACAAAACUGGCUCCUGGCUGCCACUUCUUAGAGAGUGAGGGCUGGGGUUGUUGCUGGGCUUCCCCCUCCUCAAGCAGUGCCAGGCAAUGUAAGGAAGAACUGUUGGAGGAAGUUUGCAUGGACCAAGUUGGACAUCAGCGUGUCAGCCAUGGCGGGGCAUGGGAGGGUCCAAGGCUUUUUCUUUAAAGCUGAGUACAGGCAGGAGUUCCCAUCAUGGCGCAGCGGAAACGAAUCCAACUAGGAAUCAUGAGGUUGCGGGUUUGAUCCCUGGCCUCACUCAGCAGGUCAAGGAUCGGCAUUGCCAUGAGCUGUGGUGUAGGUUGCAGACAAGGCUGGGAUCUGGUGUUGCUGUGUCUGUGGUGUAGGCCAGCGGCUACAGCUCCAAUUCGACCCCUAGCCUGAGAACCUCCAUAUGCUGCAGGUGCAGACCUAAAAAGGCAAAAAAAAGACCGAAAAAGAAAAAAGAAAAAAGGAAAGAAAAAGCUGAGUACUGGCAGAAGGGGUGGGGGCAGUACUGAAUGGUGAAGGGGCCACGGGGACCCUCACCUCACCAGCAUUACAUUUACAUUUGGCUCUAAGAGUGGUCUCUGCUCUUACACUUAUUUGGUAUUUGCUUAAUAACUCUUCCAGGGAAGAGUUAGAGAACAUGUCAGUCAUGGAGUUCCCGCUGUGGCUCAGUGGGUUAAGAACCCCACAGGGUGUCCGUGAGGAUGCAGGUUCCACCCCUGGCCUUGCUCAGUGGGUCACAGAUUCGGCACUGCCGCAAGCUGCAGCGUUGGUUGCAGAUGCGGCUUGGAUCCAGUGUUGCUGUGGCUGUGGUGUAGGCCGGCAGCUGCGGCUCCUACUUGACCCCUAUGCCUUCCCGCAAAGAGGGCAGAGCCCCCACCCUGGCAAUGCUGUACCCGUUGGCUGGGCUGGCCUCCAGGGGGCUCCUCGGCUCUGCUGGGAAACAGGACUUGUUCUGGGGAUCUAGAAUUCUACAUCCUGCUCAUUAUCAGUUCAAGUAAGCAAAGAACUUGUCUUUUGAUUUCCCCAGGAUUGAAUCUGCUUGGCGGAUCGUUUGGCUUUUCACUUUAAAUAGCUUUCUGGAGACAUUGGUGGUGAGAUGCUUAAACACAGCUGCGUUGUAUUCCUCUCUCUACACACUCUUAUCCCACUGGGUUAUGGGGUCUGCUUCUCCCUCCCUUUCCAGGGGCUGUGAUCCCUGGCAGUGCAUUUCUAAUGAAGGAAAAAAAAAAGUAUGUUGGGAGAGUUCUGAGUUUUUGUCAAAAUCUUCUGCAUGGGAGUUCCCACUGCGGCAAAGCGGAAAUGAAUCCAACAUCCAUGAGAAUGUGGGUUUGAUCCCUGGCCUUGUUCCAGUGGGUCGGGGAUCUGGCGUUGCCAUGAGCUCUGGUGAAGGUCGGCAGCUGCAGCCUGGGAACUUCCAUAUGCUGUGGGUGUGGCCCUAAAAAGCAAAAAUAAAAUAAAAUAAAAAUAAAAAAAUGGAUUUUUAUGACACUUGAAAUUUGGCCGAGUUGGAUUUAAGCCUGGCUGCAUUUAGAAUGUAUUGGUAUGACCUGAAGUCUGAGAGACAUGGAAUUUGGAGGGUGGGAAGGUGGGUUGAUUGGACAAUGACCAUGGGCUAAGUAGUUUGUUCAUGUAUCUAAAUAUUUAUUGAUCUCCUCCUAUGUGCCUGGCAGGGUGAGAGAUGCCCUAGAAAUAGCGAUGAAAGAUAAAUAUUUAACCACAGGAAUCCAGUGUUUUUUGUGGGGGAAGGAAAAUCCGGAAAGACAUGCUGACAGGAUGGCCUAAAGAGAAUUAUGCAUAAGGGUAUGGGGACCUGGACAAGGAACACCCGCCUCAUUGGAGCCUGCGGGUGAGCCUACUGGAGAGCUGACUCAGGCUGGCUGUUUUGUUUUGUUUCGUUUCUAUCCUACCCUAUCUUAUCCUCUCCUAUCCUAUUCUAUUCUAAAUUUUUUUUUUUAAGGCCACACCUGCGGGAUAUGUAGGUUCCCAGGCUAGGAGUUGAAUUGGAGCUGCAGCUGCCAGUCUGCACCACAGCCAUGGCAACGUCAGAUCCAAGCCAAGUCUGCGACCUACACCACAGCUCAUGGCAACACCGGAUCUUUAAUCCACUGAGCAGAGCCAUGGAUACUUGGUGGGGUUUGUUUCUGCUGAGCCACAGCGGGAACUCCCAUUUUUUUUUUUUAAAAAGGGGGAAAAACAGUGUGCUGGAAGGGUGGGAAGACGCCGGUGGGAGGAGACGUGGUUUCUCCCGGUGAGGUCCAGAAUGGCUGGGGAGCCCCUAAAAGUCUGGGGAGAGUGGACAGCUGCACUCUGAGCCGGACCUGGGAUGAAGGCUGGAAAGCUCUUGGGGGCAGAUGACGGCAACACCUCAGACCUCAGGGACGGCCCUGGGAGCAGCGGGAGCUGGAAUGGAUCAGAAGUGGGCAGUGACAGUGAGGAGACCCCCCACCCAGCUGCCUGGAGCCGGCAGUGAAAGGCCCUCCAGGCUCCGCCCCCACCCCAGCCACACGCGAUUUUGUUUAUUUAUUUACUUAUCUGUCUUUUUGUCUAUUUAGGGCGGCACCCACAGCCUAUGGAGGUUCAUAUGGAGGUUCCCAGGCUAGGGGUCCAAUCAGGGCUGUAGCUGCCGGCCUACACCACAGCCCCAGCAACACGGGAUCCCAGCCACAGACUCGGCUUGUCUGCGACCUACACCGCAGCUCACGGCAAUGCCGGCUCCUUAACCCACUGAACGAGGCCAGGGAUCGAAUCCACAUCCUCAUGGAUCCUAGUCGGGCUCGUUAACCAGUGAGCACGAAGGGAACUCUGUGUUGGCACAUUUGAAACGCAGCGGUGGGUUAGGAAUGUGUAUUAACUUCUAAACAACUAAACAACCUUCGGGAGAUGCCCCUUGUUAACAAUGACCUCUUUGUUAACAAAUUUCAUUUUUUGUUUGUCUCAGAACUGGUCUGGCUCUAGAAUAAAUCAACGUGCUGGGCCGAGGGUACAGUGAUUCCAAACAGUUUAAUGUAAUUCCAAGACAGAGUGUGAUUACAUUUCUACACAUAUACAAUAUGCAUAUGUGAGUUUACGAAUUUUAAUUAAUAACUCGUUUCACCUCAGAGACCGAAAAAAUGAUCAAAAAGAAACUGUGAGUAACAAGCUAUAACAUAGUUCACACGACGGGACCCCCCUUUCUCACCCUACAGUUAGUAAUAUUACAAUUAAAAUAACUAUAUUCUUCUAUAAUUUUUUUUCUGUUAAAAUCAUCUCAUAAAUUUACAAUGCUAUUAUUAGUUUCCAAGACUAAUAUAAAUUCACUCCAUUUUUCUACAACGAAAAUGAUCAUUAAUUUAGAAGCACACGACGUCAUGAUGAAAAACACAAGCAUUUUAGUAGCAAGGACUUGAUCAGAUAAGAAUUAUUUUUCUUGUAAAACAUUCUAAAGCCAAGUAAAAUAUCCAUUCUUAUAACAUACCUAUAAUAUGAGACUAAGGAAUAGGUUACAUAUAGGCCUACAACACAUUGGUUUGUCUUUUAAAAAAAGUAGACAUUUAUAAAUAAAAAAAGAAAAGAGGGACAAUUCACAUAGGAAAAAGAGGUACACGAGAAAAUACUGUUGCACGCAAUAGUUUUCACAAGGAUUAACAUGGAUUAACACUUUUUAUUACAGAAACCGUACAGUGAAGGAACACAACAGAGCAGGGCUUCCCGAGGGUAACUGAGCGGAGGGACCUGGUAGAGAAGGUCUGGGCGAGACGACCCUGGGGAGGAGCUACGUUCCUUGGACCGGGGACCGAGCCUCCCCCGGUCCCCUCUUCCCUGCUCUCGUUCUGGGGAGUGUGUCUUCCUGUCCAGAGUGUCCUGAAUUCGUGGGCAGCUGCAAGGUCAACAUUUCUACGGAUCCGUUCUCUUUCCGGCCUAAUGGAUACCAUUUUUGGAAAUGGGAUAGAAUAUCAGAGGCUGCCGCUCAAUACCCACGGUCGAAGCAAAACGGGAUGGAAAAUUCCAGUCAUCCUGAUGUGUUGCCUCCCCUCACUCGUCUAUGCCCUUGUCGCUGGGGACCCAGAGAGAGCAGUGGCACCCUGCAGGGCCUCUUGCCUCCGCAGUGGCGAGGUGGUGGCGGGGGGCCGGGCGCCCUGCCUUGGGCCCACGUGCGAAGAUGCAGCCUGGGCUGUGGUCCAGGGCUCCUCUAAUAUGCCAACCAACACUGACUCAGGCUUUUCAAAUCGCCUCUUCCUCCUCAUCUGUAAAGCUAUACUUUUCCUAUCAGAAAUUUGG
Molecule: long non-coding RNA, 8329 nt
Filed under: Sus scrofa (pig)
Lineage: Eukaryota; Metazoa; Chordata; Mammalia; Artiodactyla; Suidae
Description: lncRNA (ENSSSCG00000047041.1)
Source: RNAcentral